Molecule: ribosomal RNA, 254 nt
Filed under: uncultured bacterium
Lineage: Bacteria
Description: partial 16S ribosomal RNA
Rfam family: Bacterial small subunit ribosomal RNA
Source: RNAcentral
GACGUAGGGGGCCAGCGUUGUUCGGAAUUACUGGGUGUAAAGGGUUCGUAGGCGGUGCGGCAAGUCGGGAGUGAAAUCUCUGGGCUUAACCCAGAGGCUGCUUCCGAAACUGCUGUGCUUGAGUGUGGGAGAGGCGCGUGGAAUUGCAGGUGUAGCGGUGAAAUGCGUAGAUAUCUGCAGGAACACCCGUGGCGAAAGCGGCGCGCUGGGCCACUACUGACGCUGAGUGAACGAAAGCUAGGGGAGCAAACAGG